RNAcentral lists this ribosomal RNA (255 nucleotides) under uncultured bacterium. RNAcentral describes it as "partial 16S ribosomal RNA". It matches the Rfam family "Bacterial small subunit ribosomal RNA", at positions 524 to 776 of the family's 1533-position model. The record is from RNAcentral.
UACGUAGGGUGCGAGCGUUAAUCGGAAUUACUGGGCGUAAAGCGUGCGCAGGCGGUUCGUUGUGUCGGCGGUGAAAGCCCCGGGCUUAACCUGGGAAUGGCCGUUGAAACUGGCGAACUGGAGUGUGGCAGAGGGGGGUGGAAUUCCGGCGUGUAGCAGUGAAAUGCGUAGAGAUGCGGAGGAACACCGAUGGCGAAGGCAGCCCCCUGGGCUAACACUGACGCCUCAGGCACGAAAGCGUGGGGAGCAAACAGG